This 1023-nucleotide long non-coding RNA is filed under the name Arabidopsis lyrata. Its description in RNAcentral is "long non-coding RNA (ALYR_LNC002649)". The record is from RNAcentral. Lineage: Eukaryota; Viridiplantae; Streptophyta; Magnoliopsida; Brassicales; Brassicaceae.
UUUUUUUAUUUCUCCUCUCUACGACUUUUUCAUCUUCUUCGUUUCUCUCUGUCUCGAGUCAACAAUCCGACAAACACAAAGCUUUCAAUCUCUUUUCUUCUUCUUCUUUCUUCUUUUUUUUUUUCUCUCUUUUCUCGAUUCCAUCGAUACUCAUUCAUCUUUUUCAUCUUCCCUCUUCACUCGUUUCUAUCGAUCCAAAGAUCCGUCCUCUCUCUUCUUCUUCGUGAGAAAUUCGCAGUGAAAUCGAGAAAUCCGCCGUGAGAAAUCCGCCGUGAGAACUCCGCCGUGUCUUCUCUUUGUAAGAUUUCAUUUGUUUGAUCCCUAAUUUUGUUUUAUUGUGUUGGGUUUAAUUAGGAUUUGAUUUCUGUGAGGGUUUGAUAUGUAAUUCUCUUUGAUUUUGUUUGAAACAAAUGCAUUUUGAAUGGAAUUUCGAUUACAAUUAGGAUUUUUUAUGAUUACAGUUCGGAUUUUAAGAUUACUAAUAGGAUUUGAAUUACAAUUCGGGUUUGAAAUUCGGACGACAUGUAGCUACUUUUUCUUGUUUUUAUUUGGAGAUAUUGAGUGAAAGUUGUAACUUUGUUUGUAAACUCUUCUUAAAAUGAUUAAUUUCUCUUGGUCAAUUUUGGAAGAAAUCUGGUUUCAAGUAAGUUAAUAAGGAGUGGAUUGCAGACAUAGAUGAAAUUUUUUGUACGUAUAUAUUAGCCUAUAACAUUUGUUUCUCUAUUACGAGAGGAGGAAAAGGAAAAGGAGACUGAGACUGAGACUGAGAAGGAGAAGGAGAAGGAGAAAGAGAAGGAUAAGGAGAAGAAGAAGCAGAAGAAGACUUGGUGUGUUCAGAUGUGUUUUGGUUUCUAAUGUUAUGUAUGAUUCUAAGUGUUUAGGUACAACUGGUACACUUAUGUACAACUAUGUAUCUGGGUUUGUAUGAAUCUAAGUUUUUUUGACAGAAAAAUCACCAAAAAACUAUGAGUCAAAGUGUUUUGAUCAAAAAAUUCACAACAACACUAUGAAUCUACUAAGUAU